RNAcentral lists this transfer RNA (71 nucleotides) under Danio dangila (olive danio). RNAcentral's name for it is "tRNA-Gln". It matches the Rfam family "tRNA". From Rfam's summary of the family: Transfer RNA (tRNA) molecules are approximately 80 nucleotides in length. The record is from RNAcentral. RNAcentral also lists the same sequence under 1 other name. Lineage: Eukaryota; Metazoa; Chordata; Actinopteri; Cypriniformes; Danionidae.
UAGAAAGUGGUGUAGUGGAAGCACUAAGAGUUUUGAUCUCUUGAGCAUGGGUUCAACCCCCUUUUUUCUAA